UAGAGUGUUCAAAGCGGGCAGAUAUUUUUCCUGCCACCGAAUUCAUUAGCAUGGGAUAAUGGAAUAGGACCCGGACCUCCUAUUUUCAGUUGGUUUGGUUUACAGCGAGGUUAUAUCAGGGUAAUGAUUAAUAGGGAUAGUUGGGGGCAUUAAUAUUUAAUCGUCAGAGGUGAAAUUUUUGGAUUUAUGAAAGAUUAACCUUCUGGGAAAGCGUUUGCCAAGGAUGUUUUCAUUAAUCAAGACGAAAGUUAGGGGAUCGAAGACGAUCAGAACCGUCGUAGUCUUAACCAAAACGACCCGACCAGCGAUUAGGAGACGUUGAAUACAAAACACCGCUGUUAAUCCUUUCGGGGGUUAAUAGUUGGUGAAUGACU
RNAcentral lists this ribosomal RNA (374 nucleotides) under Acanthamoeba sp. BN-63-T5. RNAcentral describes it as "SSU rRNA". It matches the Rfam family "Eukaryotic small subunit ribosomal RNA", at positions 767 to 1100 of the family's 1831-position model. Lineage: Eukaryota; Discosea; Longamoebia; Acanthamoebidae. The record is from RNAcentral.